CAAAAACAAGAUGGCGAUGGUUUAUGGUGAAUCCCAAGCAGUUCACGGCAUCUGACAACAUGUCCCCGAGCAGCGACGGCCAGGAGCAGAGAGCCGGGAAACCUGCCGAAGGGUUUCGGCCGGAAACGUCGACUGUACUUUUUUCCGUCGAUGCUGCCUGGCCUGCUGAGUUCCUCCAGCAUUUUGAGUGUGUUACCCAAUGGUGGGGGUUGUUUCUAGCAGAGCAACAGCUGG
Long non-coding RNA from Mobula hypostoma (lesser devil ray), 234 nucleotides. RefSeq lists it as uncharacterized. The record is from RefSeq and is a predicted model, not a curated record. The transcript is spliced from 3 exons. NCBI's taxonomy places the organism in Eukaryota, Metazoa, Chordata, Chondrichthyes, Myliobatiformes, Myliobatidae.